GCGGGUCUGGCCGAUCGGUUAGGCAUCAGGUUUCCACCCUGAGUAGGCGAGUUCGAUUCUCGCGGCCCGCUCCA
Molecule: transfer RNA, 74 nt
Filed under: Parvibaculum sp.
Lineage: Bacteria; Pseudomonadati; Pseudomonadota; Alphaproteobacteria; Hyphomicrobiales; Parvibaculaceae
Description: tRNA-Gly
Rfam family: tRNA
About the family: Transfer RNA (tRNA) molecules are approximately 80 nucleotides in length.
Source: RNAcentral